RNAcentral lists this transfer RNA (94 nucleotides) under Scleropages formosus (Asian bonytongue). It matches the Rfam family "tRNA". Rfam says of the family: Transfer RNA (tRNA) molecules are approximately 80 nucleotides in length. Their secondary structure includes four short double-helical elements and three loops (D, anti-codon, and T loops). Lineage: Eukaryota; Metazoa; Chordata; Actinopteri; Osteoglossiformes; Osteoglossidae. The record is from Rfam by way of RNAcentral.
GGCUCUGUGGUGCAAUGGAUAGCAUGUUGGACUUCUAGCUGUAACACUCAGCGAAGUGAUUCAAAGGUUGUGGGUUCAAGUCCCACCAGAGUCA